Molecule: long non-coding RNA, 1028 nt
Organism: Mus musculus (house mouse)
Lineage: Eukaryota; Metazoa; Chordata; Mammalia; Rodentia; Muridae
Product: predicted gene, 34599
Exons: 2
Source: RefSeq, a predicted model, not a curated record
AUGGCCAAGCUUACAUAAAAUAAAUUACCAAGCACAAAAACCACAUCAUCAAGACUGGUACUGAGUCUAAGAAAUAUAGUUUCCCUCUGCUAGUAACCUAUGAUUGUGUGGUUAGCUGGGCUCUUUGCUUCUCUCAAACACGUGUGAAUUCUAACUGCCCACCGUCUACAGACGUCUUCUCUCUGCUUUCUCAUCUGAUCAGUGCUAGUUCAGAGGUUUUAGAGAACAAUCUGGAAAAGUACAGAACCCUCCCCCCAGUUCUGAGAUGCCAGAUGCUCAACCAGUCACUCUGGUGACAUAUUUAUCAUGCCACGCUGCCUUGGCUCUGUGUUCCCACAUGUUAUUGGUCCAGGGAGGGAAAGUCAGUGUAAGCAAUGUCCUAAGAAUUAAGCAUUUGCUCUUCUUUCCUUGAAUGACUUCUCCUAUUCUCAUUCCUUGUCAUCUACCUAUCUUUCUGAUUCCAGAGUAGACUUUAAUCGACAUGGACACCUCCACCAUGUGACCUUCACUCAUGCUCCCAAAGCCCCAGGGGGUUGGUAAGAAGGAACACUCACUAAGCCCAGCAUCCCAGGGACAGAACCAGCACCUACAGGCCCUUGACUUCAGUCAAUCAUCGCCAUGACAACUUAGGUCACAGACCCUAAACGUCAGCAUUUAGAAUCUAGAAUGAGGUGAGGAGAGAAGAGAGAGCUCUACACGUCAUUACAGUCCUUCCCUUUGGGUGUGGCACUUACUGCCUGUGCUGCUAUACAGCCAUAGCCAUUGCUGCCUUUAUGCUAUGUGGAUUCCAUCCUCCUUUUACCCAAGUGCCUUUUCAUUCAUGAGAUCACAAGAAGACACCCAAUCCUUGAGCUCAUGUGCCAGAUUUGGGCAUCUCCACAUCUGGAAGCAGAUGUUUAAAUAGAAUAGUAGCAACCGAAGGAAUGUGGCAGCAAUGCAGAAUUUAUUCAGCCUGUAGAAUCAAGCCUUAAGCUGUGAGGCUCAGAAUCUCCACUUCUGUAAAAUGAAUAAAGCAAUUUAUUCACUUA